ACUAUUUUGGCAGAUAAAGUGUAAUGGAUUUAGAAUCCGUUUAUGUGAUUAUAUCACAUAUAGUA
Molecule: transfer RNA, 65 nt
Filed under: Gryllotalpa orientalis (oriental mole cricket)
Lineage: Eukaryota; Metazoa; Arthropoda; Insecta; Orthoptera; Gryllotalpidae
Also listed under: 1 other name
Description: tRNA-Leu
Source: RNAcentral